This 460-nucleotide ribosomal RNA is filed under the name uncultured bacterium. Its description in RNAcentral is "partial 16S ribosomal RNA". It matches the Rfam family "Bacterial small subunit ribosomal RNA", at positions 338 to 795 of the family's 1533-position model. The record is from RNAcentral.
GCUACGGGAGGCAGCAGUGAGGAAUAUUGGUCAAUGGACGAGAGUCUGAACCAGCCAAGUAGCGUGAAGGAUGACUGCCCUAUGGGUUGUAAACUUCUUUUAUAAAGGAAUAAAACGAGGCACGUGUGCCUUUUUGCAUGUACUUUAUGAAUAAGGCUCGGCUAACUCCGUGCCAGCAGCCGCGGUAAUACGGAGGAGCCGAGCGUUAUCCGGAUUUAUUGGGUUUAAAGGGAGCGUAGAUGGGGUGUUAAGUCAGUUGUGAAAGUUUGCGGCGCAACCGUAAAAUUGCAAUUGAUACUGGCAGUCUUGAGUACAGUUGAGGUAGGCGGAAUUCGUGGUGUAGCGGUGAAAUGCUUAGAGAUCACGAAGAACCCCGAUUGCGAAGGCAGCUUACUAAACUGUGACUGACAUUGAUGCUCGAAAGUGUGGGUAUCAAACAGGAUUAGAUACCCCGGUAGUC